This is a long non-coding RNA of Etheostoma cragini (Arkansas darter), 220 nucleotides long. RefSeq lists it as uncharacterized. The record is from RefSeq and is a predicted model, not a curated record. The transcript is spliced from 3 exons. Lineage: Eukaryota; Metazoa; Chordata; Actinopteri; Perciformes; Percidae.
AUUUGCUCAGGACCAAAUCACACAGAAGGGAUUGCGGCCGCUGACAGCACCAUGAAUUGCACAUCACUUGCGACCGCUAUCUGCCCCGUCUCAAGGUCCCAGUCACAAGUCAGAUAUUACAGCACAAACACAACCAUAAAGUUUUGCAGCUGAGUGCAAUUUUACCUUUUUUGCAUUUGAUUACAACUUUACAUGUGGCUAAUUAUAAUGUUGCAUUUGC